AUUGAACGCUGGCGGCAGGCCUAACACAUGCAAGUCGAGCGAGCGGCGGACGGGAGAGAAAUGUAUGGGGACUGCCCGAUAGAGGGGGAUAACUACUGGAAACGGUGGCUAAUACCGCAUACGGUAGUAUAACCCAUAUUGGAUGAGCUAGUAGGUGAGGUAAUGGCUUACCUAGGCGACGAUCCCUAGCUGGUCUGAGAGGAUGAUCAGCCACACUGGGACGGAGACACGGCCCAGACUCCUACGGAGGCAGCAGUGGGGAAUAUUGCACAAUGGGCGCAAGCCUGAUGCAGCCAUGCCGCGUGUAUGAAGAAGGCCCUAGGGUUGUAAAGUACUUUCAGUCGGGAGGCGGUACCGACAGUAGAAGCACCGGCUAACUCCGUGCCAGCAGCCGCGGUAAUAC
RNAcentral lists this ribosomal RNA (403 nucleotides) under uncultured bacterium. RNAcentral's name for it is "partial 16S ribosomal RNA". It matches the Rfam family "Bacterial small subunit ribosomal RNA", at positions 30 to 526 of the family's 1533-position model. The record is from RNAcentral.